This 253-nucleotide ribosomal RNA is filed under the name uncultured bacterium. Its description in RNAcentral is "partial 16S ribosomal RNA". It matches the Rfam family "Bacterial small subunit ribosomal RNA", at positions 524 to 776 of the family's 1533-position model. The record is from RNAcentral.
UACGGGGGGGGCAAGCGUUGUUCGGAAUCACUGGGCGUAAAGCGCACGUAGGCGGAUUGUUAAGUCGGGGGUGAAAUCCUGAGGCUCAACCUCAGAACUGCCUUCGAUACUGGCAAUCUCGAGUCCGGAAGAGGUUGGUGGAACAGCUAGUGUAGAGGUGAAAUUCGUAGAUAUUAGCUAGAACACCAGUGGCGAAGGCGGCCAACUGGUCCGGUACUGACGCUGAGGUGCGAAAGCGUGGGGAGCGAACAGG